Molecule: ribosomal RNA, 246 nt
Filed under: uncultured bacterium
Lineage: Bacteria
Description: partial 16S ribosomal RNA
Rfam family: Bacterial small subunit ribosomal RNA
Source: RNAcentral
ACUGGCGACCGGCGCACGGGUGAGUAACACGUAUCCAACCUGCCUCAUACUCGGGGAUAGCCUUUCGAAAGAAAGAUUAAUACCCGAUGGUAUAAUCAGACCGCAUGGUUUGAUUAUUAAAGAAUUUCGGUUAUCGAUGGGGAUGCGUUCCAUUAGGCAGUUGGUGAGGUAACGGCUCACCAAACCUUCGAUGGAUAGGGGUUCUGAGAGGAAGGUCCCCCACAUUGGAACUGAGACACGGUCCAA